Molecule: ribosomal RNA, 439 nt
Filed under: uncultured bacterium
Lineage: Bacteria
Description: partial 16S ribosomal RNA
Rfam family: Bacterial small subunit ribosomal RNA
Source: RNAcentral
CUACGGGUUGCUCCAGUGGGGAAUAUUGGACAAUGGGCGAAAGUCUGAUCCAGCCAUGCCGCGUGGAUGAAGAAGGCCCUAGGGCUGUAAAGUCCUUUCGGUGGUGAAGAUAAUGACGGUAACCACAGAAGAAGCCCCGGCUAAUUUCGUGCCAGCAGCCGCGGUAAUACGAAAGGGGCUAGCGUUGUUCGGAAUUACUGGGCGUAAAGCGCACGUAGGCGGCCUUGUAAGUUGGGGGUGAAAUCCCGGAGCUCAACUCCGGAACUGCCUUCAAAACUAAAAAGCUAGAGGAUGUGAGAGGAUAGUGGAAUUCCGAGUGUAGAGGUGAAAUUCGUUGAUAUUCGGAAGAACACCGGUGGCGAAGGCGACUGUCUGGCACAUUUCUGACGCUGAGGUGCGAAAGCGUGGGGAGCAAACAGGAUUAGAUACCCUAGUAGUC